UCCGCAGUAGCUCAAUGGUAGAGCAGCUCGCUGUUAACGAGAAGGUUGCAGGUUCGAGUCCUGCCUGCGGAGCAA
This 75-nucleotide transfer RNA is filed under the name Candidatus Colwellbacteria bacterium CG10_big_fil_rev_8_21_14_0_10_42_22. RNAcentral describes it as "tRNA-Asn". It matches the Rfam family "tRNA". From Rfam's summary of the family: Transfer RNA (tRNA) molecules are approximately 80 nucleotides in length. Their secondary structure includes four short double-helical elements and three loops (D, anti-codon, and T loops). Further hydrogen bonds mediate the characteristic L-shaped molecular structure. tRNAs have two regions of fundamental functional importance: the anti-codon, which is responsible for specific mRNA codon recognition, and the 3' end, to which the tRNAs corresponding amino acid is attached (by aminoacyl-tRNA synthetases). tRNAs cope with the degeneracy of the genetic code in two manners: having more than one tRNA (with a specific anti-codon) for a particular amino acid; and 'wobble' base-pairing, i.e. permitting non-standard base-pairing at the 3rd anti-codon position. Lineage: Bacteria; Candidatus Colwelliibacteriota. The record is from RNAcentral.